GCGAACAAAGCUUUUCGAUUUGGAUUUGGAUUUCGAUCCUCUCAACCAAAAAGCUUAAAAGAUUCUUUUUUCGCAUAGAAAUUCUCUGUUUCUUCUUUUCCUUUACUUUAUAUUUUCAAUUAUUAGAUAGAUUAACAGCUGCCUGCACCAUUCUUAUUUUUGUUUGUUUCCAAACUGCAUGCUUAUAAUUAUAAUUUGUAUUCUCUACUUUUUUAAUCUUCUACACCUUAUUAUUGAUCAGUAAUAAUAACUCUAAUCUCAAUUAUUAGAUUCAAUCACUUUCAUUUUUUUUAAUUAUUAUCAGUGUCCUAGGUGUUG
RNAcentral lists this long non-coding RNA (318 nucleotides) under Trifolium pratense (red clover). RNAcentral's name for it is "long non-coding RNA (TPRA_LNC013530)". The record is from RNAcentral. Lineage: Eukaryota; Viridiplantae; Streptophyta; Magnoliopsida; Fabales; Fabaceae.